UCAGUAACACGUAGUCAACAUGCCCAGGGGACGUGGAUAACCUCGGGAAACUGAGGAUAAACCGCGAUAGGUCACUACUUCUGGAAUGGGUAAUGACCCAAACCUAUAUGGCCCCUGGAUUGGACUGCGCCGAUCAGGCUGUUGGUGAGGUAAUGGCCCACCAAACCUGUAACCGGUACGGGCUCUGAGAGGAGGAGCCCGGAGAUGGGCACUGAGACAAGGGCCCAGGCCCUAUGGGGCGCAGCAGGCGCGAAACCUCUGCAAUAGGCGAAAGCUUGACAGGGUUACUCUGAGUGAUUUCCGUUAAGGAGAUCUUUUGGCACCUCUAAAAAUGUGUCAGAAUAAGGGGGGGCUUAGUAUGGU
This 363-nucleotide ribosomal RNA is filed under the name unidentified archaeon. RNAcentral describes it as "bacterial SSU rRNA". It matches the Rfam family "Archaeal small subunit ribosomal RNA", at positions 90 to 456 of the family's 1478-position model. The record is from RNAcentral.